AGAAAAUCAGUUGAACCUUCUGCUCUUUGGUUAUAGUUUUAUUGAACAAAUUGGCAAUUCUCCGUCCACCCUGUUCUUAUAAAUUGCACUGUCCACCGCCCAGUCCUUCUACCUCCACCGAUGGGCGUGAUUGAAACUACCCCCACCGCCUUAGCCCUUUUGAUUCUCAGAAACCUGGUCACGCCUGCCCUCAUCCGUGCCCAUGAAUCUCUCGUUAAUCUUGGAGAAAAGUACAAGCUUCUUGAAUUUGUUCGCUCUUUCUUCAUUACCUGUUUUCUCAUAUUCUUAAGUUUACUUCAUUCUUUCUUGCCUUCUUUUGAUCUUAUUCGUGAUCAUAAUCACCUCCUUAUAUCCCCCAAGACUGAAAACCACGCCCUCACUUAUGAUGGCGAUUCGGGUAUUGCUCGAGCACUUCUGCAGAUCUUGUCCCUCAUUAACGAUAUCCCUGUUAGUUCUCGCAAGUAUGAACUCGUUCGAUCUUUAGCUGAGAAGCUUAUAGAGGAGAACCAGAGUGGGGAUGUUGAGGUUUUGCGUUUAGCCAACCGUACAAGUUUGUCGGCGGCUUUUGAAAGGACUCUUGGCCAGCUUGAAGCCACUAUGAUGGAAC
RNAcentral lists this unclassified non-coding RNA (607 nucleotides) under Hevea brasiliensis (rubber tree). The record is from RNAcentral. Lineage: Eukaryota; Viridiplantae; Streptophyta; Magnoliopsida; Malpighiales; Euphorbiaceae.